CCUACGGGAGGCAGCAGUGAGGAAUAUUGGUCAAUGGACGAGAGUCUGAACCAGCCAAGUCGCGUGAAGGAUGACUGCCCUAUGGGUUGUAAACUUCUUUUAUAAAGGAAUAAAACGAGGCACGUGUGCCUUUUUGCAUGUACUUUAUGAAUAAGGAUCGGCUAACUCAGUGCCAGCAGCCGCGGUAAUACGGAGGAUACGAGCGUUAUCCGGAUUUAUUGGGUUUAACGGGAGCGUAGAUGGGUUGUUAAGUCAGUUGUGAAAGUUUGGGGCUCAACCGUAAAAUUGCAAUUGAUACUGGAAGUCUUGAGUACAGUUGAGGUAGGCGGAAUUCGUGGUGUAGCGGUGAAAUGCUUAGAUAUCACGAAGAACCCCGAUUGCGAAGGCAGCUUACUAAACUGUGACUGACAUUGAUGCUCGAAAGUGUGGGUAUCAAACAGGAUUAGAUACCCGAGUAGUC
Molecule: ribosomal RNA, 460 nt
Filed under: uncultured bacterium
Lineage: Bacteria
Description: partial 16S ribosomal RNA
Rfam family: Bacterial small subunit ribosomal RNA
Source: RNAcentral